This 482-nucleotide ribosomal RNA is filed under the name uncultured bacterium. RNAcentral's name for it is "bacterial SSU rRNA". It matches the Rfam family "Bacterial small subunit ribosomal RNA", at positions 30 to 506 of the family's 1533-position model. The record is from RNAcentral.
UUGAACGCUGGCGGCAUGCUUUACACAUGCAAGUCGAACGGCAGCACGGGGGCAACCCUGGUGGCGAGUGGCGAACGGGUGAGUAAUAUAUCGGAACAUAUCCGGGAGUGGGGGAUAACGUAGCGAAAGUUACGCUAAUACCGCAUAUGCCCUGAGGGGGAAAGUGGGGGAUCGCAAGACCUCACGCUUUCGGAGUGGCCGAUAUCGGAUUAGCUAGUUGGUGGGGUAAAGGCCCACCAAGGCGACGAUCCGUAGCUGGUCUGAGAGGACGACCAGCCACACUGGGACUGAGACACGGCCCAGACUCCUACGGGAGGCAGCAGUGGGGAAUUUUGGACAAUGGGGGCAACCCUGAUCCAGCCAUGCCGCGUGAGUGAAGAAGGCCUUCGGGUUGUAAAACUCUUUCGGCAGGAACGAAACGGUGAGCUCUAACAUAGCUUGCUAAUGACGGUACCUGAAGAAGAAGCACCGGCUAACUACGU